CCUACGGGAGGCAGCAGUGAGGAAUAUUGGUCAAUGGGCGAGAGCCUGAACCAGCCAAGUCGCGUGAGGGAGUACUGCCCUAUGGGUUGUAAACCUCUUUUGUCGGGGAGCAAAAGCCGGACGUGUCCGGCUGUGAGAGUACCCGAAGAAAAAGCAUCGGCUAACUCCGUGCCAGCAGCCGCGGUAAUACGGAGGAUGCGAGCGUUAUCCGGAUUUAUUGGGUUUAAAGGGUGCGCAGGCGGAUUUUUAAGUCAGCGGUAAAAUCGUGGGGCUCAACCCCAUCCAGCCGUUGAAACUGGGGAUCUAGAGUGUGCGAGAGGUAUGCGGAAUGCGUGGUGUAGCGGUGAAAUGCAUAGAGAUCACGCAGAACCCCGAUUGCGAAGGCAGCAUACCGGUGCACAACUGACGCUCAGGCACGAAAGCGUGGGUAUCGAACAGGAUUAGAUACCCCGGUAGUC
RNAcentral lists this ribosomal RNA (458 nucleotides) under uncultured bacterium. Its description in RNAcentral is "partial 16S ribosomal RNA". It matches the Rfam family "Bacterial small subunit ribosomal RNA", at positions 338 to 795 of the family's 1533-position model. The record is from RNAcentral.